Aspergillus rambellii is the source of this 72-nucleotide transfer RNA. It matches the Rfam family "tRNA". From Rfam's summary of the family: Transfer RNA (tRNA) molecules are approximately 80 nucleotides in length. Their secondary structure includes four short double-helical elements and three loops (D, anti-codon, and T loops). Further hydrogen bonds mediate the characteristic L-shaped molecular structure. tRNAs have two regions of fundamental functional importance: the anti-codon, which is responsible for specific mRNA codon recognition, and the 3' end, to which the tRNAs corresponding amino acid is attached (by aminoacyl-tRNA synthetases). tRNAs cope with the degeneracy of the genetic code in two manners: having more than one tRNA (with a specific anti-codon) for a particular amino acid; and 'wobble' base-pairing, i.e. permitting non-standard base-pairing at the 3rd anti-codon position. The record is from Rfam. NCBI's taxonomy places the organism in Eukaryota, Fungi, Ascomycota, Eurotiomycetes, Eurotiales, Aspergillaceae.
GGGGUUGUGGUUUAGUGGUAUAACAUUCCGUUUGCAUCGGAAAGGUCCGGGUUUCGAUUACCCGCGACUCCA